Molecule: small nucleolar RNA, 106 nt
Organism: Malania oleifera
Lineage: Eukaryota; Viridiplantae; Streptophyta; Magnoliopsida; Santalales; Ximeniaceae
Source: RefSeq, a predicted model, not a curated record
ACCUGAUGAUGUGGGCAUUUACAAAGUAGGUUGUUGAAAAGCUCCCAAGUGUCAAAGAGAAGUUCCCCAUCCAUUUGUUUGAAAGUUGUGAUUACCCUUCGUAGCU